ACAGCUUCGGAAGAUGGGUGAAUUUCUAGUGUCAAGUUACGGAACCUUGACUAGAUUUUCACUUAUCCUUUGCGGCUGU
This is a non-coding RNA of Heliconius melpomene (postman butterfly), 79 nucleotides long. Lineage: Eukaryota; Metazoa; Arthropoda; Insecta; Lepidoptera; Nymphalidae. The record is from Rfam.